UUAUCUCUGCAUGUAUGUAUAUGUACGUAUGUAUGUGUGGAUGUGUGUGUUCUUGCAAUUCAUAUAUCUACUUUUGCUUGUGUGUGCUUUUACAUGCCUCACACGAAGUUUCGUGUUUCUUAUCGCUUCAAAGAAGAGCUUAUCUGGAGAUCAGUUGCAUUUUGCAUAUAUGUACGUAUGUGUGUAUUAGGUAAAGAGAAAAUAAAAAUAUGUGCUGUACACACGAGCUAUUACUCUACUUUUGUUUUGGAUCCAUUGAUCGCUCGUCUUUUAGGUAUAAAAAUGAGAAAUGAGAAACCGGCGCACAGCAAAUAAGCAAGCGCUCAAAAUUCGAGUGAGACCGAUGCGACACAUUGAUAUGCAUACUCACCCACACAAGCCCGUGUAUGUGAAGAGAUGCGGCAAAGCCAGAGAUAAGCAGUCACCUGUUAGUGUGUGUGUUCGCUGUCAUUUAUCUUCUUACGCUCAUGCACUCACAGCUCUUUCUUGGUGCUGAUCGCUGAUUGGUCCAAUUAAUAACCGCUUGCAUUGAAGUUCUCGUCUCUUCGUGCUCAGCACCGUUUUUAUGAACCUGAGCAACGUUCUGCCGUGUUAGUGUGGCCUCAUCAGUCAAUAAGUUUUCAGCCAAAUGUUCCCUGGACAAGGAUACCAUUAAUGUUGUUGGUGCCUAGAUGACCUUGGUUAUUUUAUACCAUGGAUAUACAUUCCACUAAAUUUUAACCUAAAUGUAAUGGUUAUGGUUACUUAAAUCAACAUGUUUAGUGUUGGUUCUGUCGAUUUUACAGGCAAUGUAUUUAAGUUUGCAAGAAGUUAUUCAUUUUUCACUCUGUCGUUCUAGCAAAUCUGCCACGCCCAUAGACAGCAAAAUCUUCUGUAUCGUUGGUACCUUCAUGAAGACAUUAAAAAGAAGUCUGCAUCGGAAUUUUAAAGAUUAUGUCUCUUCCGGAUCAGUUGUAAUCUAAUCGAUAUGUUUCAGUUUACAAGAACUAAUGUACAUGUUUUAUUUUGUAUUUUUCAGCUUAAUCUGACGCGCCCAUGGACAGCAUAUAAUCUCCAUAUCAUGGACAAACAUUUAUGAUCGCCAUUGUGGGUAUCUGUUGAUCCAUAUGUCCUUGGGAAUUUCAUACCAUGGAUAUAGUCCUGGCGAACCAGAAGGACCAAGUUCUUGCAAAAUGCGCAAGAACAUGGUUCUAAAAUAUGUGUUAAUUUCUUUUACAGCAACCUUAGCAACAGAUCCGAUCCCUGGAUGGUUCCUAGUUGACAACAAUAUCCUUGGUCAUACCAUGCCAUCGAUAGAGUCCUUGGGAACCUAGAGGAUCACAUCUCUGCAGAAUGCGCUUUGAUAUGGUCCAAAAAUAUGUAUGCUUUUUUUUCAGAAGUCCUUUUACUUUAGCUGCAGCUGCAGCUUUUGUUUAACAGCUAUUUUACAGCACUCUUUUUACAUGAACUGUUAUUUAACAGUUCCCAUUUUAAAUGAGUUACAUUUUUGCCCCUUCAGGCUAUGCAAUGAAAUUUUUUUUUUCGCAGAACUUGACCCUCUGGGAAUUCCUGUGCGAUUGUCAACAGACACUCCUAGCGUCCGAUUAUAUAUUUAUUUUUAUGCUAAUUUGCUGAAUUAUUUCUCUAAAAAUUAUACAAAUCGAGCAGAAAUUAUAAUUUUAGCUUAUUGAAAAUUCAUAUGACUAUAUCUGGCUUAAUUAAAGAAGGUUCCUGAAAAAAUUAGCUUUGCCACUCGUGGAGGUCCUUAGAGCUCAUUGUACUCCUUAAUUUGGCAGUCUGAAAACACAAAAAACACAUUUAAAUUGAACAUAUAAAUAAUUAUAUUAAAGCGGAAAAUUGGCCAUAACUCGGGCAUGUCCUUGCAGAUUUUCAAAGGACAUGGUGCGUUAGGAUCAUAUUGACCCCCUGCAUCGAUCUGCAUCAUCAAAAUAUGGGGUCAUCUAAGAAUCCCAGCACUUGUAUUUUGACUUGUAAAAUUUCAGUCGCAAAGUGCAGGGAAAUGCCCCGAAAACACAAAUCCUUAAAUAUCUCCGAAACUACAAGGACGAUUCUAAUGAAAUUUGGCCAGCUUGUAGUCCUGGUUAAUACAAUUUUUUUGACACAUGAGUCGCAAGGAUACACAAGGAUACAGCUGAGCUAUGGCCUAUUUUAGGUAUACAAAAUUGUCCUUAAAACUUUUUUGUCUGAAGGACUUUUGUCCUUUGGGUUGUUAAUUCUUUAAUGGGAGGGUGAGGACUAUCUGCUGGCCAAAGGACAUCCAUAUAGUCCUUCAAAUGGCAAAGUUAGACCGGAUAUUUUCGAUUUUGGCCACUUUUGCGACUAACCCCCUUGAAUAAAUUUCGAUGAAAUUUUUUGUCGAAUUCUGGAAAUCCUUGAAUGCCAAUCGAUAGUCCUACUUACUACGAGCCUUAAAAGGUAUAUCCUUCAGUUAUCCUUAAGGAUUCUGCCGGGUUAUGGCUAUUUGAAAAAUGUCCUUUUUAGAAAAUUAGCCAUAACUCAGCUAAACCAAGGGCGAUUCUGAUGUCCUUUGGACAGUUUGUGGUCCUUGUUUAUAUGAUUUGUUUGACAUAUGAAUAGCUAGGAUCCGCAGGGAUUUGGCGAAGCUAUAGCUUUAGUAAGUUACAAAAGAAUUGUACUAAUAUCUAGGCUGUCUGAAGGACUUUCGUCCUUUUUAUUGGGUAUUUUGAAUCGAGAGGAUGAGGACUAUCGGUUGGUAAAAGAACAUCAUGAUUCGCAAGGAUACUGGCGAUCUACAGCCUUCUUUCUUUACAGACAAAAAUCUCCUCUCCACAGCUACUUGAAGGACUUUCGUCCUUUUUAUUACAUAUUCUAAAAUGGCAAGACAAGGACUGCACGUUGGCCAAAGGACAUCAAGAUGGUCCUUGAGGUGACUUAAAAAAUAACAUAUCUCAGAAACUAUAAGGACGAUUAAAAUGCCCUUUGGACAGAUUAUAGUCCUUGUCAUCCGCAAGGAUAACGCCAAUCAACAUCCUUCUUCUUUACAGACAAAUAUAUCUGUUGCUCACUUAGAGCUAUUUUUAUAUAAGAAGGAUAUAGAUUUUUGGCUAUAACUCGGCGAAAUCCUUAAGGAUCUGGUAUGAGCACACUUUUUGACUCGCAGGAUCGUGCGUCAAACGAUCCGUAAGGAUUUAGUACAAUUAAUAUAAUGAAAACCUAUGUCAAACUUAAAUUUAUCCUAAUCUUAAAGUAGUCAGGACAAGUAUUAUUGUAUGCAGAUAUUAUUGUUCGGCUCUCACAGGAGCAUGCAAUGCUAUAAUUUAUUACUAUUCAAAAGUUGCUUAUAAAUAAAUAAUAUAU
Molecule: long non-coding RNA, 3318 nt
Organism: Drosophila virilis
Lineage: Eukaryota; Metazoa; Arthropoda; Insecta; Diptera; Drosophilidae
Source: RefSeq, a predicted model, not a curated record